Molecule: ribosomal RNA, 774 nt
Filed under: uncultured Neocallimastigales
Lineage: Eukaryota; Fungi; Neocallimastigomycota; Neocallimastigomycetes; Neocallimastigales
Description: partial large subunit ribosomal RNA
Rfam family: Eukaryotic large subunit ribosomal RNA
Source: RNAcentral
AGAGAGAGACAUGCGCGCAUAUCAAUAAGCGGAGGAAAAGGAACUAACUAGGAUUCCCUCAGUAACGGCGAGUGAAGCGGGAAGAGCUCAAAUUUGAAAUCUUCAAGGUUCUACCUUGACGAAUUGUAGUUUAAAGAAGUGUUUUCUGUUGGAGUUUUGGUAAAAGUUCUUUGGAAUAGGACAUCAUAGAGGGUGAGAAUCCCGUAUUUGACCAUUAUUUCCAGCUUUGUGAUACACUUUCAAAGAGUCGGAUUGUUUGGGAAUGCAGUCCAAAAUGGGUGGUAAAUUUCAUCUGAAGCUAAAUAUUGGCGAGAGACCGAUAGCGAACAAGUACCGUGAGGGAAAGAUGAAAAGAACUUUGAAGAGAGAGUUAAACAGUACGUGAAAUUGUCAAAAGGGAAGCGUUUGACACCAGUGUUGUUUUUCCGAAAAUCAAUUAAGAAUGUUUUAUUUUUGAGGAGUUAUGACUUCAUCGGCUUGCUCCUUUCUUUAUGGAACUUUCUUAAUGCACUUUUCGGUUAACAAGUCAACAUCAAUUUCUUUUGUUGUAAAAGAGUAUGAGGAAGGUGGCUUUCUUUUCGGAGAAAGUGUUUAUAGCCUUGUACUUCUGCAAUCGGAGAGAUUGAGGUCUGCAGCGUAGAUCCUUCGGGGUUAGAUACACUUGUGCUAAGCUAUAGCUUUUCAUAGACAACUUGUUGAUUAUGAUUAGUCUUGUAGCUUACUCGCUUGUGCUAUUUUACCUACGCUUAGGAUGUUGACAGCAGUAUAGACUGU